This 738-nucleotide long non-coding RNA is filed under the name Macaca mulatta (Rhesus monkey). RNAcentral describes it as "lncRNA (ENSMMUG00000051278.1)". The record is from RNAcentral. Lineage: Eukaryota; Metazoa; Chordata; Mammalia; Primates; Cercopithecidae.
AUGCUCACCGGCCUCAGCCCCGCGCCCGCCGUCAGCGUCGAGACGCAGGCCCUCCUGGUGGGAUCCCACCGCAUCCCCUGCCUCCACUGUCAUCUGCUCCACGUGGUAUCUCCAGGGGGACCUCUCUGCUGGGCUCCAGGCCGCAUAGCUGUGGGCGGCCAGCACGAUGUCCCACCAGGACCCCUGCAGUCCCAGUGCCCCCGCCUGCUCAUCUGGGGACCUGUCCUCACUGCCUGCUGCCUGAACUGUGUGGAAGGACAGAGGCUAAACGAGGAAGCCGGGAACUCUGGUCUCAUGGACAUGGCAGCCUGCCCACCACCCACGCCUGCCCAGCCUUUCUUCACGCAGCGCUUAAAACGUGGAGAGCGGAAUCUUCUGGGCCCAGGUAACACACCUUUGCUCCGACAUUCCCUUCACUACUCACUGGCAAGCUCAGUUGGAAAUUCGCUCCCAGUAGGAGGUUCCGCAGCAGACACAUGGGAUCCAGCUGCCGGGAAUCUCUUUUCUUCACUCACCACUACCUUCAGACACACUCUGCCAAAUCUUCUCUCUCGGAUGACAUCUCAGGUGGAUCUGACAGUCCAUUUCAGGUAUUAUAUUAGGAUAAUCUCUUCUUUUCUUUUCAAGAUGGAGUCUGGCUCUGUCACCCAGGCUGGAGUACCGUGGUAUGUCCUUGGCUCACUCCAACCUCUGCCUCCUCUGCCUCAAGUGAUUCUCCUGCCUCAGCCUUCCGAGUAG